This 215-nucleotide unclassified non-coding RNA is filed under the name Paraglomerales sp. RNAcentral's name for it is "partial internal transcribed spacer 2". Lineage: Eukaryota; Fungi; Glomeromycota; Glomeromycetes; Paraglomerales. The record is from RNAcentral.
GUGAAUCAUCGAAUUUUUGAACGCAAAUUGCACUCUCUUCGGAAGGCAUGUCUGUUUGAGGGUAACAUUUAACAAAUAAUAUGUAUUUCGUGUGCACACGUUGAUGAGGUUUCCAAAAUUAUGAAUUAUUAUUUUUGGUGGUGCUUAAUAAACAGCGCGAUGCUUUUUUUCAGUUCGAGUGUAGUAAAUUUAUUUCUUGCUUGGUUUAUGAAAAG